This 460-nucleotide ribosomal RNA is filed under the name uncultured bacterium. RNAcentral describes it as "partial 16S ribosomal RNA". It matches the Rfam family "Bacterial small subunit ribosomal RNA", at positions 338 to 795 of the family's 1533-position model. The record is from RNAcentral.
CCUACGGGUGGCUGCAGUGAGGAAUAUUGGUCAAUGGACGAGAGGCUGAACCAGCCAAGUAGCGUGAGGGAUGACUGCCCUAUGGGUUGUAAACUUCUUUUAUAUGGGAAUAAUACAGGGUAUGCAUACCAUCUUGUAUGUACCAUAUGAAUAAGGAUCGGCUAACUCCGUGCCAGCAGCCGCGGUAAUACGGAGGAUCCGAGCGUUAUCCGGAUUUAUUGGGUUUAAAGGGAGCGUAGGUGGAUUGUUAAGUCAGUUGUGAAAGUUUGCGGCUCAACCGUAAAAUUGCAGUUGAAACUGGCAGUCUCGAGUACAGUAGAGGUAUGCGGAAUGCGUGGUGUAGCGGUGAAAUGCUUAGAUAUCACGAAGAACUCCGAUUGCGAAGGCAGCUCACUGGACUGCAACUGACACUGAUGCUCGAAAGUGUGGGUAUCAAACAGGAUUAGAUACCCUAGUAGUC